This is a non-coding RNA of Armillaria novae-zelandiae, 105 nucleotides long. The record is from the annotation of a GenBank genome assembly. NCBI's taxonomy places the organism in Eukaryota, Fungi, Basidiomycota, Agaricomycetes, Agaricales, Physalacriaceae.
GGCACUAUAGCCAAGUGGUUAAGGCGACAGAUUAGAAUGGUCUUAUUGAAAGGGCAAGUCAUCUGUUACUCUUUGAGUGCGCAGGUUCAAAUCCUGCUGGUGUCG